CCUCUCUAUUCGUCGGCAGCGUCAGAUGUGUAUAAGAGACAGCUAUAACGGUCCUAAGGUAGCGAAAUUCCUUGUCGGGUAAGUUCCGACCCGCACGAAUGGCGUAAUGACUUGGGCACUGUCUCAACAGCAAAUCCGGUGAAAUUGUAGUGAGAGUGAAGAUGCUCUCUACCCGCGAUUGGACGGAAAGACCCCGUAGAGCUUUACUGUAGUUUAGCAUUGAGUCUCGGUAUUGUCUGUACAGGAUAGGUGGGAGACUGAGAAGGAUGGGCGUCAGCUUGUCUGGAGUCAACCUUGGGAUACCACCCUGACAGUACUGGGGUUCUAACUGGUGGCCAUGAAACUGGUCACAGGACAUUGUUAGAUGGGCAGUUUGACUGGGGCGGUCGCCUCCUAAAAAGUAACGGAGGCGCCCAAAAGUUCCCUCAGCGCGGUUGGAAAUCGCGCGCAGAGUGCAAAGGCAUAAGGGAGCUUGACUGCGACACCUACAAGUGGAGCAGGGACGAAAGUCGGGCUUAGUGAUCCGGUGGUACCUCGUGGGAGGGCCAUCGCUCAACGGAUAAAAGCUACCUCGGGGAUAACAGGCUGAUCUCCCCCAAGAGUCCACAUCGACGGGGAGGUUUGGCACCUCGAUGUCGGCUCGUCGCAUCCUGGGGCUGGAGUAGGUCCCAAGGGUUUGGCUGUUCGCCAAUUAAAGCGGCACGCGAGCUGGGUUCAGACCGUCGUAAGACAGGUCGGUCUCCUAUCCACUGUGUUCGUGGAAACUUGAAGAGGCCCUUCCUUAGUACGAGAGGACCGGGAAGGACGAAGCUCUAGUGUACCUGCUGUUCUACCAAGGGCAUUGCAGGGUAGCUACCUUCGGUUAAGAUAAGCGCUGAAAGCAUAUAAGCGCGAAGCUGUCUCUAAGAUUAGGUUUCAUAGACUGGUCCGAGAACAGGACCUUGAUAGGCCAUACGUGUAAGUCCAGUAAUGGAUUGAGCGAAGUGGUACUAAUAAGUCGUUUGAUUCUCCCA
This 1013-nucleotide ribosomal RNA is filed under the name freshwater metagenome. RNAcentral describes it as "bacterial LSU rRNA". It matches the Rfam family "Bacterial large subunit ribosomal RNA", at positions 1918 to 2925 of the family's 2925-position model. The record is from RNAcentral.